RNAcentral lists this ribosomal RNA (356 nucleotides) under Piezodorus guildinii (redbanded stink bug). RNAcentral describes it as "partial 16S ribosomal RNA". The record is from RNAcentral. Lineage: Eukaryota; Metazoa; Arthropoda; Insecta; Hemiptera; Pentatomidae.
UUCAGUAUUUUGACUGUGCGAAGGUAGCAUAAUCAUUUGUCUUUUAAUUGAAGGCUUGUAUGAAUGGUUUGAUGAGGGAAUAACUUUCUUUAUAUUAUAAAUUGAAUUUAAUUUUUUAGUUAAAAAGCUAAAAUUUUUAAAUGGGACGAGAAGACCCUAUAGAAUUUUAUUUUCUUUUUAAAAAUAAUGGUUUGGUUACAUUUUUUGUUUUUAUUUAUGUAAAAUUUUGUUGGGGUGACAUUGAGAUUUAUUUAACUCUCAUAAUUAAAUUUUUAAUAAUUAUUAUUUUUAUGAUCCUAUUUUAUGGAUAUAUAGAUUAAAUUACCUUAGGGAUAACAGCGUAAUUUUUCCGGAGA